Synchiropus splendidus (mandarinfish) is the source of this 2335-nucleotide long non-coding RNA. RefSeq lists it as uncharacterized. NCBI's taxonomy places the organism in Eukaryota, Metazoa, Chordata, Actinopteri, Syngnathiformes, Callionymidae. The record is from RefSeq and is a predicted model, not a curated record. The transcript is spliced from 3 exons.
GCCUCAAUGAGUGUAAAGUGUCUCAUGUCGCAACAAAGUCUCUAGGACCUAGUGUAAGAGGAUUUCGGCAAGUGAGUCUGAGGUGAAACCCGGCUCAUCUCCGCCUCCCUGGGCAAAGAUCUAAACUUGAGAUUAUGGUAACCAUCAUUACACAGGAGGCAGACGGAGAAAACUACCACUCUUGGACUUAGGCAGACAGUGUUUAGUUGUGUUGGGCUGAUGAAAGCCUCCCUGGAUCUGCAGCGGGGGCGGAGAAUACACCCAUUAUGAGGAUGAACCUCCAGACAUUGUCUGAGCCAUCAUUACAGAGGAGAUCCCAAAUGAACAGGUGGUCUUCAACAACACCAUCUAGAAGAAGCAGAAGCAAAUCUUCCCUCCACCUUCUCCCCAUGAAGACACGAUUACGUUCCGGAACCUCCGAAAGACCGCAGUGUGGAGAGACCACCCGGGUACGACAGUGGGGGGUGCGACACGUGCAGGAGGGCGUCAGCCUGGGACCCAAACUUGUGCGCAGUCACUGGCACUAGGGAUGAAGAGAGCAGGAGGAGGACGGAUGUGGGAGCAGCGGACCAGAAGGUCUGGCCUCAGACGAGUGGCGGGCGGCAGCUGCACUGUCUGUAAACUGACGUAGACCAAUACCAUGGACAAAGGAAUGAUAAAAAUAACGGCGGAGAACUGGACGCCGCUCUCUGUAUCUCAGCAGAAAUAUUGUAAGUGGAUAUGAAAUGUUCAGAGAUGCUAGCAACCGCUUGUCCUCAGCAAGAGGUGGCGCUACCGUGCGAACGUGAUUCGCUUUAUAUUUCCAAUGAAGAAGUCCUGAAGAAGGUAUGAGUGAGGGUGACAAUGCAGGAGCCAAACUGAAUCUAUGGACAACAAAGGUGAAGUGGGAGGGGCUUAAACAGCGACAACUUUUUGAGGUGCCAAACGAUUCUGGAGGUGAAAGAGAGCCGUGUGGGCCCCUCCCUGCUGGUGUGCCAGGUUUGAUCCAGACCGGAGCCAAUAACAACCUUCUUCCACACACAGACUCACCCCGGGACGCAUUCUCUCGGACCACGUCACCACGGCAACAGCAGCAGGAGAUGAGCAAGCUGGGCUCGGUGGCUGUCCCUGUCAAAAGGCAGUUCCUGUAAGAAGGGGGAGGGGGGCUCUCGUGUUUUGAAAGUCCUGCUGUCACUUGUUUUCGAAACAAUAGUGAAGACUGACUAUCUCUGCACCUUAAAAACUGAAGGAACAAUCGUGCAAAACAAUCGCUACAUUCAUGUACAGCUAUCAAUGCUUGGCAUGAAUCAGCAGUCAGAGGCAGAAUCUUCAGUGUUGAGCGCAAGAAUCACAGAACGGCGAUGUUCCCACAUGUCAGGAGUAAUAACAACGCUCUCAAUCUGUCAGCGCAAACAGCGAGCGGCUAACAGUGAUCAUCUUUCAUCAGGCUGUUGCGCCGAUGUGAAGCGAAACAGUGUUUAUCAGCAGUGACUCGCGCCCAUCGGCCACAGCCACUUGGGAAUGCAGAUUUGAGUCGGGAGAGGCGACAGAUUUGUCUUGACGCUAAACAUCUGCUGGGCCAGAGCGCGACAGUUUUUGGCAGGAACGGCGAAGAAUUUUAUGAUGACUCGGGAAAAUAUGUGUUCAUCUUUUAUUAUUGUUGUCCAAGGGGAAGCUAGUGCUCGUGAAUACGACGGGAAACGACUGAAGGUUCGCAGCAGAAAUGCCUCUCUGCCGCUGAGUCAGGGCCGCCUGAGUCAGAAGGCAGCAGGAUGGAGGUGGGUUGUGGGUUCCUUACAACUGGUGAGUCAGCUGUGAAAUUGCAACCUCAUUGCUAAGUUGUGGGGAAACAAAAAACGUCACGGUCGCCAAAACUUAGUUUGGAGAAUACACUGACAGUAGCUGCUGACAGCAAAGGUGUCACUGUAAUGUAUUAAAAAGAUUUCUCUCUCGCAGUCCUCAAGUGCUCAAACAUCAUCUAUGGAAAACUUUUGUUACUGAUUUCAUUGGUCUGUUUUUGAGAGUGAAUGUCAGCGGCCGCCUCAGGUGCGGCACUUAAAGUAGAUCUUAUUAUACAGUGCAAUGACAAUAAAACAGAACGCAGAAGGCUGCCUUUUUUUGCAAAAGUCCACUUUCCCAACGUCCAUAUAUGACGCCAUGGAUGUGAGGAUGUGCUGGCUGCUUGUGUGAGAGCACGGAAGCUGGCGAGUUAUGUGACAAAUAAGUCAACAAAUCCAACAAGAUACAAACUGCUGCACAAAUUUGGAAUUUCUGAUCCCUGCGUUUCACUUCUUGCCAGCUUGACGCUCGUGACUAAAGUGCCCCGAGUGUGUGAGCGCAGCAGCAGCAGCUAACA